UCGGGGGCGACCCUGCCGUCUCGCGGCGGCGGCGCCCCCGGCGGCCCCUCCAAACGCUGCUUCUGUGCGUCGGAGUCUCAAUCGAAUUGAAACAAAACUUUCAACAACGGAUCUCUUGGUUCUGGCAUCGAUGAAGAACGCAGCGAAAUGCGAUAAGUAAUGUGAAUUGCAGAAUUCAGUGAAUCAUCGAAUCUUUGAACGCACAUUGCGCCCCGUGGUAUUCCGCAGGGCAUGCCUGUUCGAGCGUCAUUUCACCACUCAAGCCUGGCUUGGUAUUGGGCGCCGCGUGUCCGCACGCGCGCCUCAAAGUCUCCCCGGCCGAGCGCGCCCGCCUCUCCGCGUUGUGACAUCAUGUUCGCGGCGGAGCGUGGGCGGCCGCGGCCGUUAAGCCUUUUAUCACAGGUUGACCUCGGAUCAGGUAGGGAUACCCGCUGAACUUAAGCAUAUCAAUAAGCGGAGGAAAAGAAACCAACAGGGAUUGCCCUAGUAACGGCGAGUGAAGCGGCAACAGCUCAAAUUUGAAAUCUGGCGUCAGCCCGAGUUGUAAUUUGCAGAGGAUGCUUCUGGGCAGCGGCCGUUCUAAGUCCCUUGGAACAGGGCGUCAUAGAGGGUGAGAAUCCCGUAUGUGACCGGCGCGCACCCUCCACGUAGCUCCUUCGACGAGUCGAGUUGUUUGGGAAUGCAGCUCUAAAUGGGAGGUAAAUUUCUUCUAAAGCUAAAUACUGGCCAGAGACCGAUAGCGCACAAGUAGAGUGAUCGAAAGAUGAAAAGCACUUUGGAAAGAGAGUUAAACAGCACGUGAAAUUGUUGAAAGGGAAGCGCUCACGACCAGACAUCGCGGCGGUGUUCCGCCGGUCUUCUGACCGGUCCACUCGCCGCCGCGAGGCCAACAUCAUCCGGGGCCGCCGGACAAGACCGCGGGAAUGUAGCUCCCCUCGGGGAGUGUUAUAGCCCGCGGUGAUGCGGCGCGCCUCGGGUGAGGUCCG
This 986-nucleotide ribosomal RNA is filed under the name fungal endophyte. RNAcentral's name for it is "eukaryotic LSU rRNA". The stretch from base 405 to 986 matches the Rfam family "Eukaryotic large subunit ribosomal RNA", at positions 1 to 595 of the family's 3401-position model. The record is from RNAcentral. Lineage: Eukaryota; Fungi.